Molecule: ribosomal RNA, 445 nt
Filed under: uncultured bacterium
Lineage: Bacteria
Description: partial 16S ribosomal RNA
Rfam family: Bacterial small subunit ribosomal RNA
Source: RNAcentral
GUGAGGAAUAUUGGUCAAUGGGCGAGAGCCUGAGCCAGCCAAGUCGCGUGAAGGAAGAAGGAUCUAUGGUUCGUAAACUUCUUUUGCAGGGGAAUAAAGUGCAGGACGUGUCCUGUUUUGUAUGUACCCUGAGAAUAAGGAUCGGCUAACUCCGUGCCAGCAGCCGCGGUAAUACGGAGGAUCCGAGCGUUAUCCGGAUUUAUUGGGUUUAAAGGGUGCGUAGGUGGUUUGAUAAGACAGCGGUGAAAGUUUGCAGCUUAACUGUAAAAAUGCCGUUGAAACUGUCGGACUUGAGUGUAAAUGAGGUAGGCGGAAUGCGUGGUGUAGCGGUGAAAUGCAUAGAUAUCACGCAGAACUCCGAUUGCGAAGGCAGCUUACUAAGCUACAACUGACACUGAAGCACGAAAGCGUGGGGAUCAAACAGGAUUAGAAACCCUGGUAGUCC